Long non-coding RNA from Hyla sarda, 923 nucleotides. RefSeq lists it as uncharacterized. The record is from RefSeq and is a predicted model, not a curated record. Lineage: Eukaryota; Metazoa; Chordata; Amphibia; Anura; Hylidae. The transcript has 2 exons.
AUGGGCCACUGGUCAACCUUUCCUCUUCACAGGUUUUAAUAAACUACCCCCCCCCCCAGUGUUUUUAGUAAAAAUGCCACAAAGAUGGCAGAGAAAGGAAAUGAGGGGGGUACAGUUUUUGGUGUUGGGAGUUGUAGUUUUGCAACAGAUGGAAAGCCACAAGGGAUCAGUGGUGCAGUAUGUCAAUCUAGGACCAUGGUGUCUGAUCUUGAACUGGCAGCAGGAGCCACGACCACUUUAAAUCAAUGGCUGCAGGGACGUCUGACGAGUGACAUCCUUUGCUCCAGUAGCGCCAUUUUAAUAAAAAAAAAUUGCCCAAAAUCCCUUAGAUAACAGUCAUACAGAAUACAUUAGAAAGCUUUUUUGUUUUUCAGCCAAUCGGAGAGCAGCACUACUGAAAUAGAACUCUCAGGAGGUAACAGCGUGUCACACAUGUGAUGUCAUAACCAUUGUCCACCAGAGAGCAGCACUGAGCAGAUAUAACACUGCUCCUGCUCAUUCUUCAUCAAUGAGGGGCUGAUGCUGGACACUGUAGGGGCCGAGAAUGCAAAGUCACAUACACUACUGUGACUGAUGCACUAUUUCCAGGAUGUGGAGUAGCAUUUCCGGACCUACAGCAAGACGUUGGAUGAAGACGGAGAUUUCCAGACCUAUUCCAGAAGAAUUUGGAUGAAGGCACAGCCCCUCGAAUCACGCACAUACACAGACACAUUUGCCCAAAUUCUAGAGGUAACCUCCUUUAGUAUGCCCAGAGGAAGGGCAAUACAGUAGCCAUGGAUUCCCUACAGGUUUCCUCCCCUCUGGAGGUUUUUCCUGUCCUGAGUAUUAGUUACUGUACGCUCUUUGUGAGUGAUGGAGGUUACAAAAAAUCCCGACACAAACAUUUUUAUAUAUAAUAAAUAAAGUUCCCCUUUUUAAACCAU